CAACGCCGCGUGAGUGAUGAAGGCUUUCGGGUCGUAAAACUCUGUUGUUAGGGAAGAACAAGUACGAGAGUAACUGCUCGUACCUUGACGGUACCUAACCAGAAAGCCACGGCUAACUACGUGCCAGCAGCCGCGGUAAUACGUAGGUGGCAAGCGUUAUCCGGAAUUAUUGGGCGUAAAGCGCGCGCAGGCGGUUUCUUAAGUCUGAUGUGAAAGCCCACGGCUCAACCGUGGAGGGUCAUUGGAAACUGGGGAACUUGAGUGCAGAAGAGAAAAGCGGAAUUCCACGUGUAGCGGUGAAAUGCGUAGAGAUGUGGAGGAACACCAGUGGCGAAGGCGGCUUUUUGGUCUGUAACUGACGCUGAGGCGCGAAAGCGUGGGGAGCAAACAGGAUUAGAUACCCUGGUAGUCCACGCCGUAAACGAUGAGUGCUAAGUGUUAGAGGAGAUCCGCCCUUUAGUGCUGCAGCUAACGCAUUAAGCACUCCGCCUGGGGAGUACGGUCGCAAGACUGAAACUCAAAGGAAUUGACGGGGGCCCGCACAAGCGGUGGAGCAUGUGGUUUUUUUAAGCAACGCGAAGAACCUUACCAGGUCUUGACAUCCUCUGACAACUCUAGAGAUAGAG
RNAcentral lists this ribosomal RNA (626 nucleotides) under Bacillus sp. (in: firmicutes). Its description in RNAcentral is "bacterial SSU rRNA". It matches the Rfam family "Bacterial small subunit ribosomal RNA", at positions 392 to 1011 of the family's 1533-position model. The record is from RNAcentral. Lineage: Bacteria; Bacillati; Bacillota; Bacilli; Caryophanales; Bacillaceae.